CUACGGGUCGCACCAGUGAGGAAUAUUGCGCAAUGGACGAAAGUCUGACGCAGCCAUGCCGCGUGCAGGAUGACGGCGCUAUGCGUUGUAAACUGCUUUUAUAUGCCAAGAAACCUUCGGACGUGUCCGAAGCUGACGGUAGCAUAUGAAUAAGCACCGGCUAACUCCGUGCCAGCAGGCCGCGGUAAUACGGAGGGUGCAAGCGUUAUCCGGAUUUAUUGGGUUUAAAGGGUCCGUAGGCGGAUCAUUAAGUCAGUGGUGAAAGCCGGCAGCUCAACUGUCGAACUGCCAUUGAUACUGGUGAUCUUGAAUACGGUUGAAGUUGGCGGAAUAGGUCAUGUAGCGGUGAAAUGCUUAGAUAUGACCUAGAACACCGAUUGCGAAGGCAGCCAACUAAGCCGUUAUUGACGCUGAGGGACGAAAGCGUGGGGAGCGAACAGGAUUAGAUACCCUAGUAGUC
Molecule: ribosomal RNA, 460 nt
Filed under: uncultured bacterium
Lineage: Bacteria
Description: partial 16S ribosomal RNA
Rfam family: Bacterial small subunit ribosomal RNA
Source: RNAcentral